This 459-nucleotide ribosomal RNA is filed under the name uncultured bacterium. RNAcentral describes it as "partial 16S ribosomal RNA". It matches the Rfam family "Bacterial small subunit ribosomal RNA", at positions 338 to 795 of the family's 1533-position model. The record is from RNAcentral.
CCUACGGGUGACAGCAGUGAGGAAUAUUGGUCAAUGGUCGGGAGACUGAACCAGCCAAGCCGCGUGAGGGAGGAAGGUACAGAGUAUCGUAAACCUCUUUUGUCAGGGAACAAAGGCGGGGACGUGUCCCCGGAUGAGUGUACCUGAAGAAAAAGCAUAGGCUAACUCCGUGCCAGCAGCCGCGGUAAUACGGAGGAUGCGAGCGUUAUCCGGAUUUAUUGGGUUUAAAGGGUGCGCAGGCGGUCUGUUAAGUCAGCGGUGAAAGCCCGGGGCUAAACCCGGGCCCGCCGUUGAAACUGGCAGUCUCGAGUUGGAGAGAAGUAUGCGGAAUGCGCGGUGUAGCGGUGAAAUGCAUAGAGAUCGCGCAGAACUCCGAUUGCGAAGGCAGCAUGCCGGCUCCACACUGACGCUGAGGCACGAAAGCGUGGGUAUCGAACAGGAUUAGAUACCCUAGUAGUC